ACGGUGAGGGUUCGACUCCUUUAUCUACCGCCUAAUAAGAUUUAAAGCUGGCGCUCGUUGUCGGACAAGCGUUAGGUUUCCUCUACGUGU
This 90-nucleotide transfer RNA is filed under the name Citrobacter phage Mijalis. RNAcentral's name for it is "tRNA-Ser". The record is from RNAcentral. Lineage: Duplodnaviria; Heunggongvirae; Uroviricota; Caudoviricetes; Andersonviridae.